Long non-coding RNA from Daktulosphaira vitifoliae (grape phylloxera), 649 nucleotides. RefSeq lists it as uncharacterized. The transcript is spliced from 2 exons. The record is from RefSeq and is a predicted model, not a curated record. Lineage: Eukaryota; Metazoa; Arthropoda; Insecta; Hemiptera; Phylloxeridae.
AUAACUAUGAGCUAACCAGUGUUUCUCAAAACAUAGAAACUAUUGUUGUAUUUAUCAUUUAAAAAUACCUAAAAAUAUUAGAUUGCUUAAUCAAACUUUACUAUUGACAUAUAUCUUUCAGCCUUCAAAAUUUCAGAAGUGCUUACAGUUGAUACCAUCAAAUAAUAAGUUAUAUCUAUUGAACACUUACAUAUAUAAAACCAAAACAAAUGUUCCAAUAUAAGACGACAAGAAAAAUAUAAAAUUAGAAAAAGAAUGAAUUGUCAUGUUGUACACAGCAGUGUACAACGGUGUACCAAGUAAUGUACCAAAUCCCUCAAUAGCACCAAUAAAUGCAAAAAUUUUUCCUAAAAUCAAAAAUAUGUGUUUGAUUAUGAAACAUAACAAAAAAAUUUUAUCUUACCUAAAUCUUUGACUGGAAAAGUUUUUGACAAUUGAGAUCUGACUAAUGGUUCAUUUGUAUACAUAAAACAUCCAAAUACUCUAAUUAUGUAAAAGUCCCACCAAUUUGAAGCAUAUGCUAAGCCUACUUUUUCUAUAACCCUCAGACCCGUAGUAGCAGUAGCAAGAUACAUGUCGGGUAUUCUCAAUUUAGUACUUAAAAAGUACAAACUAAUUAUAGGAAUAGUAGCUAAAAGUAAAACUGUAU